CGUUCCCGGGCCUUGUACACACCGCCCGUCACACCACGAAAGUCGGCAACACCCGAAGCCAGUGGCCCAACCCUUUUGGGAGGGAGCUGUCGAAGGUGGGGUCGGUGAUUGGGGUG
Molecule: ribosomal RNA, 116 nt
Filed under: uncultured bacterium
Lineage: Bacteria
Description: partial 16S ribosomal RNA
Rfam family: Bacterial small subunit ribosomal RNA
Source: RNAcentral